RNAcentral lists this small nuclear RNA (196 nucleotides) under Lates calcarifer (barramundi perch). RNAcentral describes it as "U2 spliceosomal RNA (ENSLCAG00010020455.1)". It matches the Rfam family "U2 spliceosomal RNA". Rfam says of the family: U2 is a small nuclear RNA (snRNA) component of the spliceosome (involved in pre-mRNA splicing). Complementary binding between U2 snRNA (in an area lying towards the 5' end but 3' to hairpin I) and the branchpoint sequence (BPS) of the intron results the bulging out of an unpaired adenosine, on the BPS, which initiates a nucleophilic attack at the intronic 5' splice site, thus starting the first of two transesterification reactions that mediate splicing. The record is from Rfam by way of RNAcentral. Lineage: Eukaryota; Metazoa; Chordata; Actinopteri; Centropomidae.
AUCGCUUCUCGGCCCUUUUGGCUAAGAAUCAAGUGUAGUAUCUGUUCUUAUCAGUUUAAUAUCUGAUACGUCCCCUACCCGGGGACCAUAUAUUAAAUUGAUUUUUGGAUCAGGGAGCCGGAACGGGGGCUUGCUCCUUCCACUCCAACGCAUCGACCGCGGUAUUGCAUUACCGUCCAGGUACGGUGCACAUUCU